Molecule: transfer RNA, 72 nt
Filed under: Camelus ferus (Wild Bactrian camel)
Lineage: Eukaryota; Metazoa; Chordata; Mammalia; Artiodactyla; Camelidae
Rfam family: tRNA
About the family: Transfer RNA (tRNA) molecules are approximately 80 nucleotides in length. Their secondary structure includes four short double-helical elements and three loops (D, anti-codon, and T loops).
Source: Rfam by way of RNAcentral
GAGGGUGUAGCUGAGGGGUAAAGCACGCACUUAGCAGGCGUGAGGUCCUGGGUUCAGUCCCCAGUACUUCCA